Molecule: ribosomal RNA, 464 nt
Filed under: uncultured bacterium
Lineage: Bacteria
Description: bacterial SSU rRNA
Rfam family: Bacterial small subunit ribosomal RNA
Source: RNAcentral
GGACCCGCACAAGCAGCGGAGCAUGUGGUUUAAUUCGAAGCAACGCGAAGAACCUUACCAAGGCUUGACAUCGCAUGACCGGUAUAGAGAUAUACCUUUCCCUUCGGGGACAUGCAGACAGGUGGUGCAUGGUUGUCGUCAGCUCGUGUCGUGAGAUGUUGGGUUAAGUCCCGCAACGAGCGCAACCCUUAUCAAUAGUUGCCAAUAUUAAGUUAGGAACUCUAUUGAGACUGCCGUGGAUAACACGGAGGAAGGUGGGGAUGACGUCAAAUCAUCAUGCCCCUUACGUCUUGGGCUACACACGUGCUACAAUGGCUAUUACAAAGAGUUGCGAAGUGGUAACACGGAGCCAAUCUCAAAAAAAUAGUCCCAGUUCGGAUUGUGGGCUGCAACCCGCCCACAUGAAGUCGGAGUUGCUAGUAAUCCCGAAUCAGCAUGUCGGGGUGAAUGCGUUCCCGGGUCUU